UACGUAGGGUGCGAGCGUUGUCCGGAAUUAUUGGGCGUAAAGAGCUCGUAGGCGGUCUGUCGCGUCUGCUGUGAAAUCCCGAGGCUCAACCUCGAGCUUGCAGUGGGUACGGGCAGGCUAGAGUGCGGUAGGGGAGAAUGGAACUCCUGGUGUAGCGGUGGAAUGCGCAGAUAUCAGGAAGAACACCGAUGGCGAAGGCAGUUCUCUGGGCCGUAACUGACGCUGAGGAGCGAAAGCGUGGGGAGCGAACAGG
RNAcentral lists this ribosomal RNA (253 nucleotides) under uncultured bacterium. RNAcentral describes it as "partial 16S ribosomal RNA". It matches the Rfam family "Bacterial small subunit ribosomal RNA", at positions 524 to 776 of the family's 1533-position model. The record is from RNAcentral.